AGAGAUUUAGCUCAGUGGCAGAGCACUUGCUUGCCUAGCAAGCGCCAGGUCCUGAGUUCAGUCCUCGGCCCUG
This 73-nucleotide transfer RNA is filed under the name Marmota monax (woodchuck). Its description in RNAcentral is "tRNA.Gly". Lineage: Eukaryota; Metazoa; Chordata; Mammalia; Rodentia; Sciuridae. The record is from RNAcentral.